RNAcentral lists this long non-coding RNA (313 nucleotides) under Physcomitrium patens. Its description in RNAcentral is "long non-coding RNA (PPAT_LNC012187)". The record is from RNAcentral. Lineage: Eukaryota; Viridiplantae; Streptophyta; Bryopsida; Funariales; Funariaceae.
UGGGAUUAGAUAUUAAACUUGAUAGGAUUUUGAUGAGCAUUGAUUUUGGAUGAUUUAGAUUUGUAUUGACUAUAUAAGAGCUUUGCAAAAUCGGGAUUUGUUUUGGAUGACUCUAGAUUUGUGAAAUAAAGUGGAUGAUACUUUUUGGAGAAUUUUGUAAGUUUGGCAGUAGAUCUACAAAUAAAAUUUUGAAGAUUUGUGAUUUUAUAUGUAUUUGAUAUAUGCUGUGAGUUUAAGCUAGAUGGAAGGGUUGGAACAAGGAUUAUUGAGGUUUAAAUGGGUCAAAAUCUUGAAAAUUAGAGUUUUAGGUCCA